Molecule: ribosomal RNA, 287 nt
Filed under: Micromonospora sp. CNZ303
Lineage: Bacteria; Bacillati; Actinomycetota; Actinomycetes; Micromonosporales; Micromonosporaceae
Description: partial 16S ribosomal RNA
Rfam family: Bacterial small subunit ribosomal RNA
Source: RNAcentral
UUUUGUUGGAGAGUUUGAUCCUGGCUCAGGACGAACGCUGGCGGCGUGCUUAACACAUGCAAGUCGAGCGGAAAGGCCCUUCGGGGUACUCGAGCGGCGAACGGGUGAGUAACACGUGAGCAACCUGCCCUAGGCUUUGGGAUAACCCUCGGAAACGGGGGCUAAUACCGAAUAGGACCACCGGUCGCAUGUUUGGUGGUGGAAAGUUUUUCGGCCUGGGAUGGGCUCGCGGCCUAUCAGCUUGUUGGUGGGGUGAUGGCCUACCAAGGCGACGACGGGUAGCCGGC